RNAcentral lists this ribosomal RNA (253 nucleotides) under uncultured bacterium. RNAcentral describes it as "partial 16S ribosomal RNA". It matches the Rfam family "Bacterial small subunit ribosomal RNA", at positions 524 to 776 of the family's 1533-position model. The record is from RNAcentral.
UACGGGGGGAGCAAGCGUUGUUCGGAUUUACUGGGCGUAAAGGGCUCGUAGGCGGCCAACUAAGUCGGACGUGAAAUCCCUCGGCUUAACCGGGGAACUGCGUCCGAUACUGGAUGGCUUGAGUUCGGGAGAGGGAUGCAGAAUUCCAGGUGUAGCGGUGAAAUGCGUAGAUAUCUGGAGGAAUACCGGUGGCGAAGGCGGAGACCUGGGCCGAUACUGACGCUGAGGUGCGAAAGCGUGGGGAGCAAACAGG